This 284-nucleotide signal recognition particle RNA is filed under the name Saimiri boliviensis boliviensis (Bolivian squirrel monkey). RNAcentral's name for it is "Metazoan signal recognition particle RNA (ENSSBOG00000006444.1)". It matches the Rfam family "Metazoan signal recognition particle RNA". From Rfam's summary of the family: The signal recognition particle (SRP) is a universally conserved ribonucleoprotein. Lineage: Eukaryota; Metazoa; Chordata; Mammalia; Primates; Cebidae. The record is from RNAcentral.
GCUGGCCUUUAGUCACAGCUACUUAGGAAGCUGAGGCAAGAGAAUUGCUUGAGCCCAGGAGUUCUGGACUGUAGUGCACUAUGUCAGUUGGGUGUCUGCACUAAGUUUGGCAUCAAUAUGGUGACCUCCUGAGAGCAGGGAACCACCAUGUUGCCUAAGGAGGGGUGAACUGGCCCAGGUCUGAAACAGAACAGGUCAAAACCCCUAUGCUGAUCAGUAGUGACAUCGUGCCUGUGAAUAGCCAUUCCACUUCAGGCUGGGCAACAUAGCAAGACCUUAUCUCU